UGCAGAGAACUUUCCAGAGAUGGAUUGGUGCCUUCGGGAACGUCUGACACAGGUGCUGCAUGGCUGUCGUCGGCUCGUGUCGUGAGAUGUUGGGUUAAGUCCCGUAACGAGCGCAACCCUUGUCCUUAGUUACCAGCACGUUAUGGUGGGCACUCUAAGGAGACUGCCGGUGACAAACCGGAGGAAGGUGGGGAUGACGUCAAGUCAUCAUGGCCCUUACGGCCUGGGCUACACACGUGCUACAAUGGUCGGUACAAAGGGUUGCCAAGCCGCGAGGUGGAGCUAAUCCCAUAAAACCGAUCGUAGUCCGGAUCGCAGUCUGCAACUCGACUGCGUGAAGUCGGAAUCGCUAGUAAUCGUGAAUCAGAAUGUCACGGUGAAUACGUUCCCGGGCCUU
Molecule: ribosomal RNA, 397 nt
Filed under: uncultured Pseudomonas sp.
Lineage: Bacteria; Pseudomonadati; Pseudomonadota; Gammaproteobacteria; Pseudomonadales; Pseudomonadaceae
Description: bacterial SSU rRNA
Rfam family: Bacterial small subunit ribosomal RNA
Source: RNAcentral